This 372-nucleotide unclassified non-coding RNA is filed under the name uncultured Gammaproteobacteria bacterium. RNAcentral describes it as "contains 16S-23S intergenic spacer region". The record is from RNAcentral. Lineage: Bacteria; Pseudomonadati; Pseudomonadota; Gammaproteobacteria.
UCCGGUUUGUCACCGGCAGUCUCAUUAGAGUGCCCUUUCGUAGCAACUAAUGACAAGGGUUGCGCUCGUUGCGGGACUUAACCCAACAUCUCACGACACGAGCUGACGACAGCCAUGCAGCACCUGUGCGCCGGUUCUCUUUCGAGCACUCCCACCUCUCAGCAGGAUUCCGACCAUGUCAAGGGUAGGUAAGGUUUUUCGCGUUGCAUCGAAUUAAUCCACAUCAUCCACCGCUUGUGCGGGUCCCCGUCAAUUCCUUUGAGUUUUAAUCUUGCGACCGUACUCCCCAGGCGGUCUACUUCUCGCGUUAGCUGCGUUACCAAGCCUAGUAAGGCCCAACAACUAGUAGACAUCGUUUAGGGCGUGGACUAC